This is a non-coding RNA of Ictidomys tridecemlineatus (thirteen-lined ground squirrel), 676 nucleotides long. The record is from RefSeq and is a predicted model, not a curated record. Lineage: Eukaryota; Metazoa; Chordata; Mammalia; Rodentia; Sciuridae.
CCGGACCAGGGGCCUCCCGAUGGGAGAGAUGCGGCGGCCCGAAGACCCUUCCUUUUGAAACCUGGGGAAGCCGGACAGGUCUCUGCUCCCCCUCCCCAAUAAGCCUCUGGACUCGCCGGCUCUUCCUCCCGGCUCUUAGGUGACCCUGGACGACAGCUCCCAGUCAGAAAAGCCACCAGAGAAUAGAAGCUUCAGAUGAGAGUCAAAGAAGGGGAUCAGAGAAGAACCGGACAUGACAGACCCAGGGAGCCACUGCUGCCUUGCUGUGUUUAAAACCGUGGAGUUCACACAAGAAAUCGCCUCUGUACACUGGGAAGGUCCCACUGCAGCAGGUCUAAAGAGUGUGUCCACAUGGGAUGAAAAGUUUGGCAUACAAAGGAACCCCAGUGGGAAUUUGUAACCCCGAAGGCUGAUGGAGUGAACCCCGAAGGCUGAUGGACUGAGAUGAUUUGUCAGUUAAAUACUGAGAUCCUGGAAGACACCAUGGACCUACAAUGCCUGCAUCACACAGUGAGUUCUUGGUACCUAGUAGGAAGACCAAAAAGAAAAUCUUCAUUAGAUGUUGCCUGUAUAGGGAAUACAACAUUUAUUAAGGUGAAAAACUGAGACUGAUGGGUUUUUUUAUUACAACAACUGGUAUCACUAAUAUGCUACUAAUAAAAAAGGCUCAUCUGUC